UACAGAGGGUGCGAGCGUUGUCCGGAAUCACUGGGCGUAAAGCGUGCGCAGGCGGUGAUGUAAGACAGGUGUGAAAUCCCCGGGCUUAACCUGGGAACUGCAUUUGUGACUGCAUCGCUGGAGUGCGGCAGAGGGGGAUGGAAUUCCGCGUGUAGCAGUGAAAUGCGUAGAUAUGCGGAGGAACACCGAUGGCGAAGGCAAUCCCCUGGGCCUGCACUGACGCUCAUGCACGAAAGCGUGGGGAGCAAACAGGAUUAGAUACCCGGGUAGUCC
RNAcentral lists this ribosomal RNA (273 nucleotides) under uncultured bacterium. RNAcentral describes it as "partial 16S ribosomal RNA". It matches the Rfam family "Bacterial small subunit ribosomal RNA", at positions 524 to 796 of the family's 1533-position model. The record is from RNAcentral.